This 1131-nucleotide long non-coding RNA is filed under the name Homo sapiens (human). RNAcentral describes it as "non-protein coding lnc-RAB40B-1:6". Lineage: Eukaryota; Metazoa; Chordata; Mammalia; Primates; Hominidae. The record is from RNAcentral.
GGGGCCUGACCGACCCCGACCCAGACGGUUUGGGUUCAACUCUCCUGCACAAAAUAAGUGGAAAUGCUGAUGGAAAUAGUUAGAAUAUAUUUUCUAAAGAGCUGACCCACUAGCAAGGGGCAUCAGCCCAAGGUCUGGGUGCCGGGAGCCCAGAAUGUUAAGAUUGCUUUCGCCCGGGCGUUUGCUGAACCCGAGGAACAGAGCUCCUGAUGUGGGGAGUGGCGGGCGCGCUCGGGGUGCACGUGCAACGGAGACACCGCCCCUAAACCUGGGGCCCUGAGGCUAACAGCUAACAGUGGCCCUGCCGUUACGGCCAGUGUCAGGUGCCAGCUGGGCUGGACCAGGAAUUCCCAGAAACCUGGCAAGGCAUGAUUUGGGGUGGGUCGUGCUGAGGGCCACACCAUCCGCUUCCCCGCUUCUGAGGCCUUCCGACCUGGGCUGAGCCCGGCUACCCGAGUCCCGGGGUCUCCGGCUCACAGACUUCUCGGCCUCCGUAAUUGCAAACGCCAGCUCCCCCAGUCCAUCUCCUGUCCUGGAUCUACGUCUAUAUCCUACUGGAUCCGUCUCUCUGGAGAACCCUAAUACAGCUGUCAACACAAGGAUGAACUAACUACAAGAAGGCCUGAAUAGGAACUCUCCCAGGGGACGAAGAGGUUUCAGCCUUCAGCAAAGGAUGGUUCAUAGAAACCGUUCGCAUAGUCGGCCCUCCACGGACUGCAACCCUAGUUAAUAUUACCUACAGUAAACAAAAAAUUCAAGUAUAGAUUUUAGUCUAAAGCAAAUAGGAAAUGUCGCUUCCCUGGACGUUGGGAGAAGCAAACACGAAUCCUCUCCUGAGGCCGGAAGCGGUGGCUCACGCCUGUAAUCCCAGCACUUUGGGAGGCUGAGGCGGGCGGAUCAUUUUAUAACUAUCUAUUAAAUGUUUAAGUUUUCAGUCCAUUUUUCCUGUCUACAUGGAAUUGCCGACUGCACAAAGAACACAUGAGGGCUCUCUCAAGGCCAUCAUUUCCGCGGAGUCCCAUUUCCUGACUCAAAUGACAAGCUCUCAACUUUCUACUCAAGAUCAUUGAAACAUCUGUGUUGAUUAUUUGUAACCGGGAUAUGCUUUAUUUAUUAGAUAAGAGACUAACC